GACUCAUCUUGGGGCCCAUAAGGAGUUGGUGAUUGAAACCCAAAACCCAGAACAAAAAAAAUAAUAACUCUUGAGAUUUGAGAUUCCAAAUAAAACCUUUCAAGUUUCAUCAGUUAUCCGCAGCCGCAGAGAUCUCUAAACCCUAAUUUUAUAUUUCUUUCUUUUUUUCUUCAUCGAGAUCAGAGAGUUUCUAAAUUUGUCGAUCAAUCCAUAAAAAAAAACCAUGUCGAUCGGCGGUAAGAGAAGAGAAUAAAAUAGAUCUGAUACAGCUAUUUGUGGUGGCAAGAUAUUUUGCAGAGUCGCACGUGUGGGUCUUCACGUGUGAGUUCAAGUGGGCGUAUCAAGCAACACGUGUACGGUUCACAGCAGCAGGAGGCCGUUAGGAGGAAGACUUUCUUAUCUUUAUAUGAGCACUUGUUUAGCUCUUAUCAUAAUCAUCGAAUAAUCAAUCUGUAAACAAACUCUUAGUUCCGAUAUCGGUACACCGGGUUUCUCUCGUUUUGAGAGCCAGUAUCAGAGCUAAACGAUCCUUGGAAAUGGUUGGAACGCGAUCUCAGGUGGUGGAAGUUCAACCGCAGGAGGUGGUUUCGGUGGAGCCGAUGGAUUCGCGGAUCAAUCGGCUGGAGGUGAUGGUAUUGGAGCAGAAUCAAAAGAUGGUGGAGCAGAAUCAGAAGAUUAUGAAACACAUCGCUGAUAUGUUCGACGCGAUGGGUAGAUCGACGGCUCAACAUGGCAAGGAGAUUCAAAAGGAAGCUGAACGGAGUGAAUCACCAUGCGAUAGGAGCAACCAGAAAUCAUUAUCAUCUCGGAAGGUCCAGAAAUCAUCAUCGUCUCGGGAGGUUCGAUCUAGUGAUUUGGAUCCACCCAAGGUUGUUAGAUCCAAACCGGUAAGAUCUGAUCCUCAGUAUACCUAUGGUAGUCUUACUCGCUUGGAAAAAUCGAUUUCCCUAGGUUCAAUGCGACUCAGAUCAAGGAAUGGUUGUUUAAGGUGGAGGAGUUUUUUUGUUGUGGAUUAUACACCCAGGGAGAUGCGUGUGAAGAUAGCUGCGAUCCACGGCGACUUGGCAUUAUUCUUUUGUUCAAUCCGGUAUUGACCUUGAUGUGUUGGAUGAUUGGAAUGGGUAUGUUUUGUUGCUGAAGGAAAGGUUUGAAGAUGAGAGUGAUGAUCCAAUGGCAGAGUUAAAGCAGCUGCAGGAGACGGAUGGCAUCAUCGACUAUCAUCAGAAGUUUGACCUCAUUAAGACACGAGUUAACCUAUCUGAAGAUUAUUUGGUGAGUUUGUACUUAGCAUGGUUGUGGUUAGACACACAAAUGCAUGUGAGGAUGUUUUAAAUACAAUCAGUGCGUCAGUGUUUGCGACUCGGGAGACUAUACGAAAAGGCACACCCUAGGAAGCAGACUUCACAGUCGUGGAGAACUACAAAGGGUAACACCAGUAACAAUGGUGGUCGACAAACGAGUACCAAUGCUAAGGAGGGAGGUUAUCAAGGUAAUCAAGCUGGUGGAACUCUUAAGGGAAAUGGUACGGCUCCUAAGAAGUUCUUGUCUAAAGAGGAGAUGAGUGAUAGGUGAGCAAAAGGUCUUUGCUAUUGGUGUGAUGAAAAGUUCACCCCGGAACAUUACCAACAACAUAAGAAUACACAGUUGUAUAGCAUGGAGGUUGAUGAAGGAGGUUUGGAGGAAGAUGAGUUGGCUUGUGACGAAGACGGUGAGAAAAAAUGCCAAUGGUGUUUGUUAAUGCAGUGACAGGGGUAUCAGAUUAUAAGACCAUGCGAGUUAAGGGUUUGUACGGGAAGAAACCAAUUUAUGUGUUGCUGGAUUCUGGUUCAACUCAUAAUUUUGUUGAUCCUAGGAUGGCGGCAAGGAUGGGGUGUAAGGUUCAGUCUUCAAAACUAACUCAAGUUUCAGUGGCUGAUGGACGGAAGUUAGGAGUUGAGGGUAAGAUUGAGGGUUUUCAAUGGAGGAUCAUGACAACAUUCUUUGAGUCUAACGUGUUAUUAAUCCCAUUAAGAGGUUGUGACAUGGUCUUGGGAGUGCAAUGGUUGUCGACUUUGGGUCCAAUUACUUGGGAGUUCAAACAGCUAGAGAUGAGUUUCAUGUGGAAUAAUAAGAAAGUGAUGUGUAUGGAAUUCAAAAUGGUUUUGUAUGAGAUGUAAAGGCGCAAAAGCUUAAGAAGAUGGAAUAAGAGGAGGUACAAGUUUCGAUGAUAUGUGUGAAUGAGGUGGAACCUCGUGAGGAAGUGAUUGAGUAUACUGUUGAUACUACUGCUAUUACGGUACACGCCAUGCAUAUCAGGAAAUGGUGUCACUCUUGUUGAAGUAGAUACGUUGGUCAAAGCUUAUCCGGAAGUUUUCGAAGAACCAACUAGCUUGCCACCGUUCAGGAAGCAUCAUGAUCAUAAGAUUCAGCUUCUGGAAGGAGCAAAUCCGGUGAACCAACGACCUUAUAGGUAUGCUAUCCACCAAAAUAAUGAGAUUGAUAAAAUUGUGGAGGAUAUGCUAUCUAGUGGAACAAUUCAACCCAGCUCAAGUCCUUUUGCAUCACCAGUGGUGUUAGUCAAGAAAAAAGAUGGCAGUUGGAGAUUGUGUGUGGACUACAUGGAGCUCAAUGGUGUGACGGUGAAGGACAAAUUCCCAUUUCCCUUGAUCGAGGAUUUGUUAGACGAAUUGGGAGGCUCCAAGAUCUUCUCCAAGAUUGAUUUACGAGCAGGGUAUCAUCAAGUUAGGAUGCGGGUGGAAGACAUCCCUAAGACAGCUUUCAAGAUUCACAGUGGUCACUACGAGUACUUAGUGAUGCCAUUUGGGUUGACGAAUGCCACAGCUACGUUCCUGAGCCUUAUAAACUCGCUUAGGGAGUUGGUGGAUAUGUGACUGUGGCGACUCAAAUUCCCUCAGUGUUGCAGGAUGUCUUUGACAAGAACCGGAGUCCAUUAUUGAGAGGAAGAUGGUUAACAGGCAGGGGAGUGCUGUUACUAAAAUUUUGGUUAAGUGGAUUGAUCAACCGUUAGAGGAGGCGAUGUGGGAAUUUCUGUUUGAUUUUCAAAAGAAAUUUGAGUUUGAAGUUUAAAGACCCUUGUGGACAAGGCUCUGCAAAUGGGGGAGAUUUGAUACAGUUAUUUGUGGUGGCAAGAUAUUUUGCAGAGUCGCACGUGUGGGUCUUCAUGUGUGAGUUCAAGUGGGCGUAUCAAGCAACAUGUGUACGGUUCACAGCAGGAAGCCGUUAGGAGAAAGACUUUCUUAUCUUUAUAUGAGCACUUGUUUAGCUCUUAUCAUAAUCAAUCUGUAAACAAACUCUUAGUUCCGAUAUCGGUACACCAGUUUCUCUCGUUUUGAGAGCUGGUAAGUAAUCCUCCAUGUUUUAUGAACAUCGAGUGAUUAAGGUUUUCUAAUAAAAUGUUAUUCAGCUUA
Molecule: non-coding RNA, 3407 nt
Organism: Camelina sativa (false flax)
Lineage: Eukaryota; Viridiplantae; Streptophyta; Magnoliopsida; Brassicales; Brassicaceae
Source: RefSeq, a predicted model, not a curated record